GCAGUGUCUCCAGGACAUCUUGGCUGGGGGCUGCCCCACGGAACCAGUGACCCUGACGCUAUUCCCCGAGACCUCCCUGCACCAGGCACACAACCUCUUUGAGCUGUUGAACCUUCAGUCCCUCUUCGUGACAUCGCGGGGCAGAGCUGUGGGCUGCGUGUCCUGGGUAGAGAUGAAGAAAGCAAUUUCUAACCUGACAAAUCCACCAGCCCCACAGUGAGCUGGCCCAGCAAGAUGAAGCAGGGCACCCCAGCUGCCCUGGUGCUGAGGUUGGGCUGAGACCCCGCCUCUCUUCCCCCAUCACCACCCAUCCCUCCCUCCAGCCCAACUCCAUUCCUUGGCAUAAGAGGCAGCUGUAACCCAGCCCAGAAGAGGAUGGCUCACUCUGGGAGAAACGAUGGCUCCUGAUUGAAAGCCAAGUCCCACCUUGGACAGAGCUCAGAGCGUGAGAUGCCAGAAGACCAGUAUCUGGCAGGUGCUCAGUGACUGACCAUCACAUUAAUGAAUGACAAGGUUGGGGUAUGCUGUCACCAAGGGCAGGCACAGAUGCUCUCUGGGGUUGUCUGAUUCCCAGUGAGAGGCUCCUGAGAAAAAUAAAGCUGGUUCCCAGA
Molecule: long non-coding RNA, 611 nt
Organism: Cebus imitator (Panamanian white-faced capuchin)
Lineage: Eukaryota; Metazoa; Chordata; Mammalia; Primates; Cebidae
Exons: 3
Source: RefSeq, a predicted model, not a curated record